ACUCUUUUCUCUCUCCUUGCAUUUCAGAGGCGAUUUGUGUCCUCUCUCCCCUCUCUCACGUUUUUCACUCCUCGCUUCCCCAUCGUCGUCGGUUUUAGGGUUACAUUUCCUCGCCGAAUCGCGUCCAAAUCAGCGUUCAGAAAUUUGGGUUGAUUUGGAUCAUGAUGGUCGGAUUAGUGGUGCCGAAGCCGUCGCUUUUUUUCAAGGAUCUGGCUUGAAGAAAAAAGUUCUUGCCCAGGUUUUGCUCCUUUUCACUACUACCUUUUUCAGGUUUAAUAUUGAAUGUUUGAUAAGAUGUAAUUUCCAGGGCAUUUCUGUGAAUUGGGAUUAUUCGGCAUGAAUCCUACGAACACUAAAAUCAUGUUUCGAUCAACCAUAAAAUCAUCAGGAAGGCUCAAUUGAAAUUCAAAGUAAUUACGUCUUUUUUUUUUUUUUAAAUUUUAUGGGUUUUAUUUCAGUUUUAGGGUUUUAAUUCCAAUUCCAAUUUUAAUUUUUUAUUUCAGUAAUUGGAAGCAGGGGAAUAAAAUAUAAAUGAGUUCUUAUACUCCAAUUGAUUUAAUUCUCUUCCUGCUAAUUCCUGUGAAGACUGACUCCUCUUUCUGGACUUUGAGCUGAUUCCAAUUUAUUCUGAAAUAACAGCCACAUAGUUCAGUUUUAGGGUUUUUAUUCUGAUAUGGUAAUUUGUUGAUUUCUGCUCAGUUCUUCAUAAAGAGCUUCCUAUUCGAAUUAGCUUGCGCGCAAUUAAUUUCGGGCUCUUCAAUAAUCAAACGGAACAAAGCCGAGACAAGGGUGAAAUAUCAGCAAGUUGACAAAAAAUGUCUGCAUUACAUUUAGAACUGAAUAUUGUAGCCAACAACUCCAUCAAUUCCAUGGAAGUAGCCAACAAAUCCAUGGAAGUAGCCAACAACUCCAUCAAUUCCUCUCCAUCAAACCAAAGCUGGGAAUAUCAUCAACCAAAACAGGUGAGAAAGUUGGGACAUUUUCACUUGCAUAUGCAGCUCACAAGGCCGCAUCUCCUAUAACCUUUUCGCCUACAGUUGCCCUCACUCCAUUGUUGCUUCCUGGAUUUCAAGAAAGUAGAUAAAGAUAACUAAUCCCAUAAUAUAUGGCUACUCUGUAUAUGACUUUUCUUCCAUUUGUGUAAUACUAGAAUGUGUUAUUGGAUACGUAGUAGAAUCAACUAUGUCAUUUCAUUGUGAA
This is a long non-coding RNA of Spinacia oleracea (spinach), 1200 nucleotides long. RefSeq lists it as uncharacterized. NCBI's taxonomy places the organism in Eukaryota, Viridiplantae, Streptophyta, Magnoliopsida, Caryophyllales, Amaranthaceae. The transcript has 5 exons. The record is from RefSeq and is a predicted model, not a curated record.